RNAcentral lists this ribosomal RNA (302 nucleotides) under uncultured bacterium. Its description in RNAcentral is "bacterial SSU rRNA". It matches the Rfam family "Bacterial small subunit ribosomal RNA", at positions 129 to 447 of the family's 1533-position model. The record is from RNAcentral.
CCCUAUGGCCUGGAAUAACACGAGGAAACUUGUGCUAAUACCGGAUAAGUCUUUACGGAGAAAGCUUUAUGCACCAUUGGAUGAGCCUGCACUUGAUUAGUUUGUUGGUGGGGUAAUGGCCUACCAAGACUUUGAUCAAUAGCUGAUUUGAGAGGAUGAUCAGCCACAUUGGGCUGAGACACGGCCCAAACUCCUACGGGAGGCAGCAGUGGGGAAUCUUGCACAAUGGAGGAAACUCUGAUGCAACGAUGCCGCGUGAGUGAAGAAGGCCCUUGGGUUGUAAAGCUCUUUCGUCGGGGAAG